Molecule: ribosomal RNA, 514 nt
Filed under: Malassezia furfur
Lineage: Eukaryota; Fungi; Basidiomycota; Malasseziomycetes; Malasseziales; Malasseziaceae
Description: eukaryotic LSU rRNA
Rfam family: Eukaryotic large subunit ribosomal RNA
Source: RNAcentral
AAGAGGGAAGAGCUCAAAUUGAAAGCUGGUACCUUCGGUAUCCGCGUUGUCCCCUCGAAAACACGUUUUCCGUGCGGCGCUAUGGACAAGUUCCUUGGAACAGGACAUCGUAGAGGGUGAAAAUCCCGUACUUGCCAUGGAUGUACCGUGCUUUGCGAUACGUGCUGCUCUAGAGUCGAGUUGUUUGGGAUUGCAGCUCAAAAUGGGUGGUAGACUCCAUCUAAAGCUAAAUAUCGGGGAGAGACCGAUAGCGAACAAGUACCGUGAGGGAAAGAUGAAAAGCACUUUGGAAAGAGAGUUAAAAGUACGUGAAAUUGUCGAAAGGGAAGCGCUUGAAGUCAGCCAUGCCGCUCAGGACUCAGCCUGGCUUUUGCUUGGUGUAUUUCCUGGGUAGCAAGUCAGCAUUGGUUUGGAUCGUCGGAGAAGCAUAGUCGGAAUGUGGCGCCCUCGGGCGUGUUAUAGCCUUCUAUUGGAUACGACGAUCUAGACCAAGGAACGCAGCGCGCCUUAUGGC